GCUUGUUUGUUUAAGUUUUGAAUUUAAAAUGAUCCGAUAGCAAAAAGACUGUUAAAAAUUAAACUAGGUGUAAAUAUUCAGCCUUAUAGUCUUUUUAUAAAUCGAAAAUUAACACUUUUGGCAACUAGCCCUGACAGUUUAAUUUAUAAUAGGGGAAAUAGUUAAGAUUAAAUGUCCAGCGUCCAUUAAAGAUAUUACACCCGAAUAAGCUUUUGAAAAUAAUAAAUUAAAUUCAUGAGUUUUAAAGAUAGGGAAUUUGGAAAUUGAAAACCACGCAUAAUUAUUAUUUUCAAGUAUAGGGGCAAUUGAAAAUAUCAGAAAGAAAAUAUUACUUUAUAGUGUGGAUACCUAAUGGUAAGGUUUAGAUUAAUAUUAUUGUGUUAAAACUAUAACUUACAUGUAAUAUUUUAUUUAAAUUAAUGGUUUUUAUUUUCAUAAAGGGAUGGUAAUUGUUAAAAUACACUAAAAUUACAAUUUCUGGAAAAAAAUUGAACCUCGGAACAAUUUUAUAUGGAGUGCUUACUUUUCAAAUUUAUCAACUCUCGAUUUGACCGAGGCCUUCCCAUAAGAACUGGGCUUAAUUUAUAAAACAUUUUUUCAAAUUUAUUAUUUAACAAUUUUAAUUUUUAUUAUUUAAUUUUUUUUAUGUAUGUUUAUGUGUGAAAAAAAUGUAUGGUUUAGUGCAACCGAACUGUCCUCAGAAUUUCUUUUUGUCAGCAAUGGUUUAUCAUUGCUUGCAGAUAAAAAUUAAAUAACCUUAUGUAUCCUACCUUCUCCACUUCCCACCUACAACAGCGGCUGCAUUUGUCCCUAGUAUCCUAGGACAACUUUUUAGAAAUGUGAGUACACAUCUACUAUACGGAUAAAAUAUAUAAUAUAAAAUUAAAAUACCU
Non-coding RNA from Cinara cedri, 893 nucleotides. Lineage: Eukaryota; Metazoa; Arthropoda; Insecta; Hemiptera; Aphididae. The record is from the annotation of a GenBank genome assembly.